RNAcentral lists this ribosomal RNA (253 nucleotides) under uncultured bacterium. RNAcentral describes it as "partial 16S ribosomal RNA". It matches the Rfam family "Bacterial small subunit ribosomal RNA", at positions 524 to 776 of the family's 1533-position model. The record is from RNAcentral.
UACGAAGGGGGCUAGCGUUGCUCGGAAUUACUGGGCGUAAAGCGCACGUAGGCGGCUUUCUAAGUCGGGGGUGAAACCCUGGAGCUCAACUCCAGAACUGCCUUCGAUACUGGAAAGCUCGAGUCCGGGAGAGGUGAGUGGAACUGCGAGUGUAGAGGUGAAAUUCGUAGAUAUUCGCAAGAACACCAGUGGCGAAGGCGGCUCACUGGCCCGGUACUGACGCUGAGGUGCGAAAGCGUGGGGAGCAAACAGG